AGCUGCUUAGUUUAAAAAAAAUUUUUAUUUGUGGUAUAAAAGAUGUGGUGG
RNAcentral lists this transfer RNA (51 nucleotides) under Cylicocyclus nassatus. RNAcentral describes it as "tRNA-His". Lineage: Eukaryota; Metazoa; Nematoda; Chromadorea; Rhabditida; Strongylidae. The record is from RNAcentral.